UCUUCCCCCCGCCCCCCACCUCAGUCUGCGUGCCGAUGUCGACAAAAGAAUCCCUCCCAACCUCGAACCCGUCACCCUCCCUCUUCCCCAUUCCCCUCUGCGGGUCGUCUCGUUAGAUCAGAUCGGACGGCGAGAGCGGGGUCUUCUUCUUCCUCUCUCCCUCCCGGUCCCGAGCUUUCCCUCUCUCUCUCUCUCUCUCNNNN
Molecule: long non-coding RNA, 203 nt
Filed under: Spirodela polyrhiza (greater duckweed)
Lineage: Eukaryota; Viridiplantae; Streptophyta; Magnoliopsida; Alismatales; Araceae
Description: long non-coding RNA (SPOL_LNC002519)
Source: RNAcentral